CAAUAGCGUAUAUUUAAGUUGUUGCAGUUAAAAAGCUCGUAGUUGGAUUUCGGGUAGGAUUUGCCGGUCCGUCUUUGAGAUGUGUACUGGUAAGUCCUAUCUUCUUGUCGGGGACCAGCUCCUGGGCUUCACUGUCCGGGACUGGGAGCCGACGAAGUUACUUUGAGUAAAUUAGAGUGUUCAAAGCAAGCCUACGCUCUGAAUAUAUUAGCAUGGAAUAAUACGAUAGGACUCUGGCUUAUCUUGUUGGUCUGUGAGACCAGAGUAAUGAUUAAGAGGGACAGUCGGGGACAUUCGUAUUUCAUUGUCAGAGGUGAAAUUCUUGGAUUUAUGAAAGACGAACUUCUGCGAAAGCAUUUGUCAAGGAUGUUUUCAUUAA
RNAcentral lists this ribosomal RNA (379 nucleotides) under uncultured eukaryote. RNAcentral describes it as "partial 18S ribosomal RNA". It matches the Rfam family "Eukaryotic small subunit ribosomal RNA", at positions 592 to 976 of the family's 1831-position model. The record is from RNAcentral.